UUAGAUGCGAUAAGCGGAAGAGUAUGUUUGAUGUUCUUUUUUAGAGAGGCUUUGUUUGGUGAAAAUAGGCUAAAGAGAUCAAGCGGAAAAUCACCCGUGAGCAAGACGGAGGAAAUGCCGUCUCGUUGGCUGCGUUAUAGCUUUUCAAGUGAUAGUUUACUAUAAAUUGGGUGGUACCGCGGAAAAUGCGUUUUCGUCCCUUGC
RNAcentral lists this non-coding RNA (204 nucleotides) under Peptostreptococcaceae bacterium. Its description in RNAcentral is "T-box sequence". It matches the Rfam family "T-box leader". Rfam says of the family: Uncharged tRNA acts as the effector for transcription antitermination of genes in the T-box leader family. The record is from RNAcentral. Lineage: Bacteria; Bacillati; Bacillota; Clostridia; Peptostreptococcales; Peptostreptococcaceae.